CCUACGGGAGGCAGCAGUGAGGAAUAUUGGUCAAUGGACGAGAGUCUGAACCAGCCAAGUAGCGUGAAGGAUGACUGCCCUAUGGGUUGUAAACUUCUUUUAUAUGGGAAUAAAACGUUCCACGUGUGGGAUUUUGUAUGUACCAUAUGAAUAAGGAUCGGCUAACUCCGUGCCAGCAGCCGCGGUAAUACGGAGGAUCCGAGCGUUAUCCGGAUUUAUUGGGUUUAAAGGGUGCGUAGGUGGAUUGUUAAGUCAGUUGUGAAAGUUUGCGGCUCAACCGUAAAAUUGCAGUUGAAACUGGCAGUCUUGAGUACAGUAGAGGUGGGCGGAAUUCGUGGUGUAGCGGUGAAAUGCUUAGAUAUCACGAAGAACUCCGAUUGCGAAGGCAGUUCACUGGACUGCAACUGACACUGAGGCACGAAAGUGUGGGUAUCAAACAGGAUUAGAUACCCUUGUAGUC
This 460-nucleotide ribosomal RNA is filed under the name uncultured bacterium. Its description in RNAcentral is "partial 16S ribosomal RNA". It matches the Rfam family "Bacterial small subunit ribosomal RNA", at positions 338 to 795 of the family's 1533-position model. The record is from RNAcentral.